RNAcentral lists this ribosomal RNA (467 nucleotides) under uncultured bacterium. RNAcentral's name for it is "partial 16S ribosomal RNA". It matches the Rfam family "Bacterial small subunit ribosomal RNA", at positions 29 to 507 of the family's 1533-position model. The record is from RNAcentral.
ACGAACGCUGGCGGCGUGCUUAACCCCUUCAAGUCGAACGGAAAGGCCCUGCUUUUGUGGGGUGCUCGAGUGGCGAACGGGUGAGUAACACGUGAGUAACCUGCCCUUGACUUUGGGAUAACUUCAGGAAACUGGGGCUAAUACCGGAUAGGAGCUCCUGCUGCAUGGUGGGGGUUGGAAAGUUUCGGCGGUUGGGGAUGGACUCGCGGCUUAUCAGCUUGUUGGUGGGGUAGUGGCUUACCAAGGCUUUGACGGGUAGCCGGCCUGAGAGGGUGACCGGCCACAUUGGGACUGAGAUACGGCCCAGACUCCUACGGGAGGCAGCAGUGGGGAAUAUUGCACAAUGGGCGGAAGCCUGAUGCAGCAACGCCGCGUGCGGGAUGACGGCCUUCGGGUUGUAAACCGCUUUCGCCUGUGACGAAGCGUGAGUGACGGUAAUGGGUAAAGAAGCACCGGCUAACUACGUG